GAUUUUUGCGUGCUUGUUUUUAUAGAACAGUUUAUAUAUGGUCCAAAAAUUUAUCAUAAAAUCAUAAAUAAAAAUAUCUUGUUCGGAGAAUGAUAGUACUAUAACAGUGGUUCCAGUCAGUCAAAAGAGUCAGAUUUUGACGAGUAUGGUCAUAUUGGGUACGCACUAGAGCCAGGGUAUACCGAAGAAGAGCUCCAUAAAAUGGAAGCUGCAGAAAGUUCCCGAAAUCAAGAUAUCCUUAGCAACCAUCGCUAGUUUUUAAAACACAGAUUGGUGUUCGUGUACUAACUGCAUACUUAUGCCGUUAUUAACGGAAUGUCUAUGUUGCCACUAAUUUACUCUCUUUGAUCGUAAUAUUGAAUUGGGUGAAUGCAUAAGUAACAGCAUCGAUUUCAUAACAGUUUGUCUGAACCCGGUUGUUCUUGAAACUAACUAUAUAAGUUUUUUUUAAGUACAAUCGUAUUCAUAUUAUACAUGUUAAAUGAAUGAACAAAUAUUAAACCUAUCUGUUUAUUGUUUUCCGUCCAUGUCUGCUCAUCGCCAGAAAUAAAGUUUGUCGCACGAAAAAAUGGUGUUAAUUCCAGAGUCAAAAUUUAAAGAACUUAUUUUCCAUGUUUUCUGGUAUUGUUCGAAAGAGAAUUGACCUAACAGAAGAAUUACUAUCUUAGGCUGUCAGUAACACAUGUAGAGUAGUGGGUCGUUGUUGGACAUGCAAAUCUUAUAAAGUGUAUCAUCUGUUAAAUUUGCAGGUCACUGAAAGGGGAAGUUCCAUACGGAAGUAGGUUUUGAGAUUGAUUUUUUUUUAUAUCCAGUGACACAUUUUACAUGCGUAUUCUUGAACGUUUGAUACAUCAUUUACUCUCAAAUUGCAAAAAACGAAAACUUCCACUUGUAUUUAUAGUAUUUGUUGAAAUAGUCCUCGUCUCACAACGUAUAAUACUCUAUCUAUUUGACCAACGAUGUUCAAAAACAAAAGACAGCGAAUUUUAUGUCAUCUUUCCCUAUUUUUGAAUGUAACUUAUAAGGCUGUUCAACUGGCAAGAAUACCGCCAGAGACAUAUAUACAUGUCUCUGAUACCGCUAAAGCGAACAAGCAGUUUAUUCUUUAAAUUGCUAUCAUAUCACGGCAAGAAAGAAAAUAAAUCCCGAAAUUGAUUUGAAACUUUAAUACUCAAUAGUUUUCCUAGAAAAUACUCACACCCCUUUGGGAUUAUUAGUGUACGUCCAGUUGCAUAUAUUUUACAUGAAUGUCGGAACAAUUGUGAUGAUGACGAAUUUCUUCCUUUAUUCGAGAACAAUCUAAUUGAUACAUAAAACUGGGAUUUUACUAUGUUCAUAACUUCGAUGAACCAAAGCAAGAUAUAUAUCGACCUGUAUUUAAAUCAAACUGGUCUUCUUCUUCUUCUUCUUCUUCUUUUGGUAUACAAUAUAGUCUGAUACAUGUAUAUAUUUUAAAUUGCACUAUAGUUCCGUAACUUUCUAUCCAGGCGUAUAAGCCAACAUCGACAAGUGCGUACAUUUUUUAAAUCAAUAUUUUUGGUAUGUACCAGUCUGUCCUUUACUAUAAUUGACAAAUUACAUUUUCCCAAAUUAACCCUCGGAAAAAAUAUAUGUAUAUAGAUUUUUAUUUCUUCAAAUCUUUUUUUUUUUUUGUGGUAUUUUUUUAUAUUUUCAUAAAUAAUAUUCUUUACACCAGAAAUGUUAUUUAUAAACAAGCGUACGAGUUAAAUUAUUGGCAUCAUAUCACUUUCGGACACACAAGACAGAGAUGUGUAUUAUACACCUGAUAGUUCAAAAUGGAAAGUUAUAAGUCUGCCGUGUACACUGAUCAAUACCUACAGAAGUGAAACGAUGCAUGAACUUGCAAGCCCGACAGGAAAUCGCUUGAAUACCCGGACGUGUCACCUGAGUCCUCACACCCCUCACAAUACCUUUGGGAGUAAUACCUUUAGCCAUGCUGGUGAUCAGAUGAGGAAAGAUCCGAAUUUAUUUGAAUAAAGUUUAUUACUUUAAAGAAUUAUGAACGAAUUAGAUUUUUGAAAACAAUUUUCACGGAACACUUAUUUAUUAUUUGAACUGUGACUCUUUAACUAAUUCCAAUAUUAACAGUUAUAAAAAUAACAGAUAAUAAUAAUGGUCAUUUAAAAAAAAAUAAGAACAUUUUCCGUAUCAAGUUUAUAGUUAGUCAGAUAAAACAAUCGUACGAUUGACAAGAUAUCGACACGCAAUUACGACUACAUCGGUUACUGUAGUUUUGGUCCUUUGUGUUUUAUAGACAUAUCGUGAUUAUAAUCGUAGAAGAUGACAAGAUGGCGGAGCGUAGAAAAUUGAUACUCAAAUUUUAAAAUCGAUGUUGAUCUCUUAUCUAGCGGAAUAAAACUUUAAUAUCUAUAAAUUUGAGCCUUUUUAUACAGAAUGGACAUAAUAUCAAUUUUUGAUUUUUUUGCGAAGUUUCCCUUUAAAAU
Molecule: long non-coding RNA, 2465 nt
Filed under: Mytilus galloprovincialis (Mediterranean mussel)
Lineage: Eukaryota; Metazoa; Mollusca; Bivalvia; Mytilida; Mytilidae
Source: RNAcentral